RNAcentral lists this unclassified non-coding RNA (352 nucleotides) under soil metagenome. RNAcentral's name for it is "partial contains 5.8S ribosomal RNA, internal transcribed spacer 2, and large subunit ribosomal RNA". The stretch from base 1 to 120 matches the Rfam family "5.8S ribosomal RNA", at positions 35 to 154 of the family's 154-position model. The record is from RNAcentral.
GAUGAAGAACGUAGCGAAAUGCGAUAAGUAGUGUGAAUUGCAGAAUUCAGUGAAUCAUCGAGUCUUUGAACGCACAUUGCGCCCUCUGGUAUUCCGGAGGGCAUGCCUGUCCGAGCGUCAUUGCUGCCCUCAAGCACGGCUUGUGUGUUGGGCCCCCGUCCCCCCCUCUGCCGGGGGGACGGGCCCGAAAGGCAGCGGCGGCACCGCGUCCGGUCCUCGAGCGUAUGGGGCUUCGUCACCCGCUCUUGUAGGCCCGGCCGGCGCCAGCCGACCCCAACCCUAAAUUUUUUUCAGGUUGACCUCGGAUCAGGUAGGGAUACCCGCUGAACUUAAGCAUAUCAAUAAGCGGAGG